Molecule: long non-coding RNA, 1296 nt
Filed under: Oreochromis niloticus (Nile tilapia)
Lineage: Eukaryota; Metazoa; Chordata; Actinopteri; Cichliformes; Cichlidae
Description: lncRNA (ENSONIG00000041278.1)
Source: RNAcentral
AUGAAGGCUGCAGCUGCCUCUCUGCUCCUGCUCGGUGUGUGUGUGCUGCUGCUGUCUGCACUGACUCUUUCUGCAGGUCUGAUCCUGGAGAUCCCUCCACAUCCUGUGCCAGCAGGAAGUGAUGUCACUAUGCGCUGCAAACAGAGUAAUGGUGACAUCAUCACAGCUAAUUUCUUCUUUAAUGGAAGUCAUGUUGGAAAUAAAUCAGAGUUCAUCAUCACAAACGUUCAGCAGUCUGAUGAAGGUCUCUACUCCUGUGCUACUGAUGUGUUUGGAGAAUCUCCUCAGAGCUUUCUGAGGGUCAGAGAUCCUUCUCCUCAUCUCCACACCCACACCUCCUCUAAUCCUGUGAACUCUCCUGCUCUUGUUUCUCCUGUAACAGACUCCUCCGCUAUUCCCUCCUCCUCCAUCCUCAUUCCGGUUGUAGCAGGUCUGGUUUCCGUGGUUCUUCUGGUUUUGGUGGUUUGGGGAGUUCUCUGGAAGAAACAGAAAGGUAUGAAAUCUUUCAGAGUUGUUGUUUUUUAAAUAGAUGAUUAAUAUGGGCUCAAAUUGUGGUCAUAAAUAUUUUGUACUUGUAAAUCAGGCUUUGUAUGUGUAAAAAGAAUUUGUGUGUGGACUUAGCCCAAAAAAUACGUGUGAAACUCUCCAAGUUACAAGUACGAAUUUUGACCCGGUUUUUCUUCCUUUCAUCUGAUUGGUCAAUCAGAGAACAGAUGGGUUUGGCUGUCGGAGGGGCGCUUUUUUGAACUGCAGGUCCUUGAAGGGUAAUACAGUUUGAAGCUGGAGGAUCUCUAUGUUGCGGGAAUUGCCGUCUUGUGUGUGGCUGGGUGCAGUGAGGUGUGUAUGUGAUGUGUGUGUGAGCAUGCACGUGAAGGAAACGCGGGGAGCGGAAAAAGAAAAAGAGAGAGAGAGUGUGACACGGGUAGAGAGGGCGACCGGGAGCGGCGUUCUAACGGGCUACAGCCUAUGCAUUGUGCUUUGAAGUGUGCAGCGCUGUUAUUAAAGCCUCAUCUCUUCAGUACUCUCCGGUGUCUCGGCUGAUUCCUGCCUGCCUCACUACUCCACAAAAGUGAAGGGAGUUAACCCCGAAGGAGGACAAACUUCGGCCCUGGAGGAAGCAUCUCCCCUCGCGUCUCCCGACCACGGUCAGGGGACUGACGGCGAGGAAUGGUUAACACUGGCGACCACGAAGGGACCCUUUCACGCUGUCAAAGGAGUGGUGAGCACUGAGAAAAACCGACAGGCUAAAGCGGCUAACGAUAAAGCCGAGUGACCGUAAUUACAAGUAUAUUGGCC